Long non-coding RNA from Gadus morhua (Atlantic cod), 728 nucleotides. RefSeq lists it as uncharacterized. Lineage: Eukaryota; Metazoa; Chordata; Actinopteri; Gadiformes; Gadidae. The transcript has 2 exons. The record is from RefSeq and is a predicted model, not a curated record.
CGCCUUAUGGCCUACGCCUCCGUAAUGUGGUCGCUGAUUAGGAUGUUCCAGAACAAUCUAGAUGACCAAGGUUUAGUAUAAAAGAACCAACAAGAGACCCGUCACAAUACAAAUGAAUUUGUCAAUUUUUAAAUAUGCGUUAAAUUUUAAAUCCGCCUUAAAUCUGAGGCGGAUACCGAAAACAAAACAAAAUACAUCAGAGGAAGGGAGCGCGGACCAACCGAACACCAUCCCCAAAAAACAAGUGCCGCCUGAGCAAGGCAGACAUCAAGAGGAAGGGGCCGGAGAGAGCGGGGACCAACCGAACAUCAUCCCCAAAAGACAAGUGCCGCCUGAGCAAGGCAGACAUCAAGAGGAAUGGGCCAGAGAGAGCGGGGACCAACCGAACACCAUCCCCAAAAGACAAGUGCCGCCUGAGCAAGGCAGACAUCAAGAGGAAUGGGCCGGAGAGAGCGGGGACCAACCAAACACCAUCCCCAAAGACAAGGGCACUUAUUUCCAUCCGUCAAUCAGAUUGCUAAAUUUUACCUUUGAUUUUACCUAUUUAAUAGAGCUGGGUUUCGAUUCAAAUUUCAAGAAUCGAUUCGAUUCCGAUUUUUAAGUUUCAGAAUCGCUUUUUUCCAAUUUUCUCAGAUUCCAUCCGAUUCGAUCAGAUUUUCAUCUGAUUUCCGAUUCGAUUCGAUUUCGAUUCGAUCCGGGGGUUAAUGUUAUUAAAAAUGAAAAAUGUA